This 308-nucleotide long non-coding RNA is filed under the name Drosophila guanche. The record is from RNAcentral. Lineage: Eukaryota; Metazoa; Arthropoda; Insecta; Diptera; Drosophilidae.
AAGGUAUGAUUUUAGAAAAAAUAUCGCGAGUAUUAUCUUUUAAGCAAUCCUGUUGGCUUAAACCCUAUAUUGAUCUAAAUACAUCCCAUAGAAAAGAAGCUAAGAAUGAGUUUGAGAUAAACUUUUAUAAAUUAAUGGUUAAUGCUGUCUACGGUAAAACGAUGGAGAAUGUAGAAAAGCGACGGGAGGUCGCAUUAAUUAAACAUUAUAAUUCAAGACAAAAUUCCGCAGGGUUUAGACAACGCAUAGCUAGACAUAAUUUUCACAGUGUUGAAAUCUUUGGUGAAAAUUUAGCUGCCAUUGAGUCC